CGGAAGGUAGUUUAGUUUAGAAUUCUGGCUUUGGGAGUCAGUGGUGGGAGUUAAAAUCUCUUCUUUCCGA
RNAcentral lists this transfer RNA (70 nucleotides) under Saurida brasiliensis (Brazilian lizardfish). Its description in RNAcentral is "tRNA-Pro". It matches the Rfam family "tRNA". Rfam says of the family: Transfer RNA (tRNA) molecules are approximately 80 nucleotides in length. The record is from RNAcentral. Lineage: Eukaryota; Metazoa; Chordata; Actinopteri; Aulopiformes; Synodontidae.